This 245-nucleotide ribosomal RNA is filed under the name uncultured Eubacteriales bacterium. RNAcentral's name for it is "uncultured Clostridiales bacterium partial 16S ribosomal RNA". It matches the Rfam family "Bacterial small subunit ribosomal RNA", at positions 524 to 768 of the family's 1533-position model. The record is from RNAcentral. Lineage: Bacteria; Bacillati; Bacillota; Clostridia; Eubacteriales.
UACGUAGGUGGCGAGCGUUGUCCGGAAUCACUGGGCGUAAAGGGCGCGUAGGCGGUUUCUUAAGUCGGGUGUGAAAUCUUUGGGCUCAACCUAAAGUUUGCAUUCGAUACUGGGGGACUUGAGUGCAGGAGAGGGCAGUGGAAUUCCUAGUGUAGCGGUGAAAUGCGUAGAUAUUAGGAGGAACACCAGUGGCGAAGGCGGCUGCCUGGACUGUAACUGACGCUGAGGCGCGAAAGCGUGGGGAG